CAGUAGCCGCGGUAAUACGUAGGGUGCAAGCGUUAAUCGGAAUUACUGGGCGUAAAGCGUGCGCAGGCGGUUAUAUAUGACAGAUGUGAAAUCCCCGGGCUCAACCUGGGAACUGCAUUUGUGACUGUAUAGCUAGAGUACGGCAGAGGGGGAUGGAAUUCCGCGUGUAGCAGUGAAAUGCGUAGAUAUGCGGAAGAACACCGAUGGCGAAGGCAAUCCCCUGGGCCUGUACUGACGCUCAUGCACGAAAGCGUGGGGAGCAAACAGGAUUAGAUACCCCCGUAGUCCCUGUCUCUUAUAC
This 301-nucleotide ribosomal RNA is filed under the name uncultured bacterium. RNAcentral's name for it is "partial 16S ribosomal RNA". It matches the Rfam family "Bacterial small subunit ribosomal RNA", at positions 509 to 807 of the family's 1533-position model. The record is from RNAcentral.